This 285-nucleotide small RNA is filed under the name Marmota monax (woodchuck). Lineage: Eukaryota; Metazoa; Chordata; Mammalia; Rodentia; Sciuridae. The record is from RNAcentral.
UAGUUCAUAUAUUAGUUGAAGAACAGCUUCAAACUGGUCAUUUAGAGUCUAUGCUUAGCCCCUGGAGCACACCCAUCUUUGUAAUUAAAAAAAAUCUGGUACUUCGAGAUUAUUACAAGACCUUAGAGCUAUUAACCUUGUUAUAGAGCCCAUGGGAGCAUUACAAUCUGGACUUCCUUCUUCCACAGCUAUUCCUUUAGAUUAUAAUUUGAUAGAAGUAGAUCUAAAGGAUUGGUUUUUCUCUAAACCUUUACACCCAGAGGACUGUAAAAUUUUUGCAUUUAG